This 26-nucleotide non-coding RNA is filed under the name Mus musculus (house mouse). Lineage: Eukaryota; Metazoa; Chordata; Mammalia; Rodentia; Muridae. The record is from RNAcentral.
UUAAAAGAGAGAUCUAUUUCGUUGCC